GACGAACGCUGGCGGCGUGCUUAACACAUGCAAGUCGAACGAAGAGCGAUGGAAGCUUGCUUCUAUCAAUCUUAGUGGCGAACGGGUGAGUAACGCGUAAUCAACCUGCCCUUCAGAGGGGGACAACAGUUGGAAACGACUGCUAAUACCGCAUACGAUCUAAUCUCGGCAUCGAGGAUAGAUGAAAGGUGGCCUCUACAUGUAAGCUAUCACUGAAGGAGGGGAUUGCGGCUGAUUAGCUAGUUGGAGGGGUAACGGCCCACCAAGGCGAUGAUCAGUAGCCGGUCUGAGAGGAUGAACGGCCACAUUGGGACUGAGACACGGCCCAGACUCCUACGGGAGGCAGCAGUGGGGAAUCUUCCGCAAUGGACGAAAGUCUGACGGAGCAACGCCGCGUGAGGGAUGACGGCCUUCGGGUUGUAAAGCUCUGUUAAUCGGGACGAAAGGCCUUCUUGCGAAUAGUGAGAAGGAUUGACGGUACCGGAAUAGAAAGCCACGGCUAACUACGUG
Molecule: ribosomal RNA, 510 nt
Filed under: uncultured bacterium
Lineage: Bacteria
Description: partial 16S ribosomal RNA
Rfam family: Bacterial small subunit ribosomal RNA
Source: RNAcentral